Molecule: long non-coding RNA, 1492 nt
Organism: Oreochromis niloticus (Nile tilapia)
Lineage: Eukaryota; Metazoa; Chordata; Actinopteri; Cichliformes; Cichlidae
Exons: 3
Source: RefSeq, a predicted model, not a curated record
AUCACUCGGGAACAGCUUUCAUUCCUGAAGUCAUGUGGAUUCACUGCACCUCAGAUGGCUGAUAUUUGAGUGUUUCACUUCGUACAAUUUGAAGACGUCUGCGACAGUAUCAUUUCACCCGUGCAUCAAUGUAUGCGGAACUGACUGACAGUGCCUUGGAUGAACAUGUGCAGGACAUUGUCGCUGGCAAUGAACAAACUGGUCCUGAGGCUGUCAGAGCCUCCCUGCGAGUACGUGGACUACGUGUACAGCGAAGGAGGGUUUGAGCAAGCAUGUUACGGAUGAAUCCUGGAGCAGCUGCCCUUAGAGCAGUUUUGCGGAGACCAGAACGAAGAACAUAUCAGGUUGCAGGUCCAAACUCAUUGUGGCACAUUGCUGGAAAUCACAAGCUGAUAAGGUGGAGGAUAGUCAUUGAUGGGGCUAUUGAUGGAUACAGUCGUCUUGUGGUCUUCCUUCAUGCCUCAAACAACAACCGUAGCAGUACCGUUUUAUCAAGUUUCAUCAGACCCGUGGUAUCCUAUGGUGUACCCUGGAGGGUCCGGACAGACAGAGGUGGGGAAAACAAUGCUGUCUGCCUGAUGAUGAACAUUUUCAGAGGCUUUGAUCGUGGAAGUGCCCUAAGAGGAAGGAGUACCCAUAAUCAGAGAACUGAGAGGCUCUGAGGUGAUCUGUGGCGAGGAAUGACCAAUGUCUACUGUGACUUAUUUCACCACCUGGAGGAGGAAGGCAUCAUUGACAUUGACAAUGAAAUGCACCUUUGGGCUCUCCAUUACAUCUAUCUCCCAAGGAUCAACAGAGAUUUGAAAGACUUCACUCAACAGUGGAACAAUCAUGGCUUGCGGACAGAGAGACACUUGAGCCCAUUACAGAUUUUUGUCCGAGGCAGCCUCCUGGUAGAACUAUGUAAUCCACUAAGUGGCACCAGAGGGAGUCAUGGUAUUGAACUCAUCACUGGCUUAAUAUACUUUCUGGACUCCACAUAUCACUGAGACAGUUCAAUUAUUGACUGAAACAUAAUAGCAGCAAGUGGAAAGACUUCAAAAUAUCUAGGUGACUGGAUACAUAUAAUGUGAAAAGUUAUAAUACGUGUUUACUAUGUACCAUUGAGUAGUGGAGAUACAAGAACGAGCUGUGUGACACUGACAAUAAAAAAUGUUGAGUGAUUUUUAAAGUGUGUAAGAUGGAAGUUGUGAAAUGGAAAGUUUACAACUGAAACUGAAUCUCGAUAAAGUCAACUUGAUCUAAAAGUUACAGCUGUUGAUUUUGAUAAAUACAACUAUAAAGCAGUGACAGUAAAUAAUUAAAAAAUAAAGUGGCUCAGUAUAGUGUGGUAGAUAUAAAGUGGUUUAGCGUGUGUUUGAUGUUGUGACAGUUCACAGCAGAGAAAAAGUGUUAACAUUAUUGAGCACAUUAUGUUUUGCUUUGUACAAACAUAGUUCUGAAAAUACUGGACUCGAGUGUAAAAUGUGAAUAAAAAAAGAGCAAGCAGUGA